AUCCUCUUGAGCCCCUUCCCCAUUGUGGAUGAGAAGCCUCUGCAGCUUUCCAGACUGUCAUUCAGGUUCUUGGAUUAGACUCUAUCACAAAGACCACCAAAGCUGUUAUUGUCAAGUUUCCAAAGUACUUUCCCCACAAGGGAUCUUUGAAGUGAGGAAACUGAGGCCCAGGGAGAAAAAUAUUUGCUCACUGCUAGCACAAAACAGAACAUAGCAGGAAGGGAGACUGGGGUAAGGGGAAGUCCUGUCUGUUCAGCCAUCUGUCUCCUAACACCUCCCACUCCCUGAAGAACUCUGUGUGUCUAUUGUUUAUAGACACACACAUCAUUCAUCUUUCUUCUCCCAUCACCCACCCUCCGAGGGGAAAAAAUGGUCAAAAGAGAAUGUUUUGGCAAACUAUGAACUUCUUCAGGGUGACUGAAAGUGGAUAAAACAGAUGCAUUGAUUUGGAAACAGUAAAUUGGAGUCAAUUGUAUGUGUGUAUCUGUAAAACUUAGUUCUGGGAAUAACUUGGCUUACAGUUUUCUUGGUGUGACAGAAAUGGGUUCAGGGACCAGGGGUCCGGGCAGGGGAAGGAGGAUGUAGAAAGGGGAGAUAUCCAAGAUAAGGGAUCAGAUAGGGAGAAGGGUUGGUCUGAGGAAAAGGGUAGUGGAAGGAGCAAGAAUUGUCAUGUUG
Monodelphis domestica (gray short-tailed opossum) is the source of this 675-nucleotide long non-coding RNA. RefSeq lists it as uncharacterized. The record is from RefSeq and is a predicted model, not a curated record. Lineage: Eukaryota; Metazoa; Chordata; Mammalia; Didelphimorphia; Didelphidae.